GACGAACGCUGGCGGCGUGCUUAACACAUGCAAGUCGAACGGAAAGGCCCUGCUUUUGUGGGGUGCUCGAGUGGCGAACGGGUGAGUAACACGUGAGUAACCUGCCCUUGACUUUGGGAUAACUUCAGGAAACUGGGGCUAAUACCGGAUAGGAGCUCCUGCUGCAUGGUGGGGGUUGGAAAGUUUCGGCGGUUGGGGAUGGACUCGCGGCCUAUCAGCUUGUUGGUGGGGUAGUGGCUUACCAAGGCUUUGACGGGUAGCCGGCCUGAGAGGGUGACCGGCCACAUGGGGACUGAGAUACGGCCCAGACUCCCACGGGGGGCAGCAGGGGGGAAUAUUGCACAAGGGGCGGAAGCCUGAUGCAGACACGCCGCGGGCGGGAUGCGGGCCUUCGGGUUGUAAACCGCUUUCGCCUGUGACGAAGCGGGAGGGAGGGUAAUGGGAAAAGAAGCACCGGCUAACUACGU
RNAcentral lists this ribosomal RNA (467 nucleotides) under uncultured bacterium. RNAcentral describes it as "partial 16S ribosomal RNA". It matches the Rfam family "Bacterial small subunit ribosomal RNA", at positions 28 to 506 of the family's 1533-position model. The record is from RNAcentral.